CGACAUCACGUGACCUAACACAAUCGGCAGAGGUCACUUGAGUUUUUCUACUUCAGUAUAGACAGCGAUCAGGCACCGGAAACCUCUGUUUCUGUCCACUGUUUGUCGCGUACCACCAGACAAAUUUAUUUUUGGCGUCCAAGAACAGGAUCCGCUGCAGGUCGUCUGGACGGUGUGACCCGGGACGAUAGUCCUGAGGACUAGGGUCGCUCAGCCUCCAAACCUCUACAGCUGUUCUGAGUGGGAGGACUGCUCACCCGUCUGGAUCGCCUCUGAUGAGAUCCACAAACUCAAAUUCAAACUCAAAUCUUAACUUGGCUCGGCCGGUGAGAGAGAUUUCUUUAUGUGGUGAUUGAUUUGAUUUGGAAAAAACAAAAGAUUGGAACUUUUAUUUUUAAUUUGGCUGAAAAACUUCAAUUGGUUGAAAAAAAAAUCUUAUUUGGUUGAAACACUAAAUUUGAUUAGGAAAAUUAAUUAGAUCAAAAAAAAAAAAUAAUAUUCCCAAUAAUACAUGAUGUUAAUUAGGUCAAAGUCUGCCCUGGUGGCUGAGACGGUGGUUGCUAAGGGUUGGCUUUUUGUCUGUACUGAGGAUACAGACCAGUGUGCAGAUCUGAGCGCAGUCCACAACGGAAGUGGACAAGAAAAAAGACGGCUUCUGAAAGAUGGAGCGUGUUUGCAGAGGGAAGUUUUCUCGAGAUACGAGGGACCCGGGCCUAGAGGGGCCUGAUGGUGAGAGAUCAUUUCCGCGAAAACUCUGUCGCUUAUCUGAGCGGUUCCCUUUCUAUGGAGACGUUCGUGGAAGAGAAAUUUGAAAAAGUUCCGGCCGAAACACACAAAAAUUUAAGGCAGGAAACUGCUGGGACUCUGAAAGAUGGGUUCAGGGCAAUCUAAUUCGCCACCACCAGGCAGCAGCAUUACAAAAGUAAAAAGUAAAUAUGGUUAUUAGUGCGUUUCUUGUUUUCAUGAGUAGUAAACUAGUUAUGGGUUCAAAAGGAGAAUUGCUUAGUGUAAAAGACAUAUGCACCUUAAAAGAAUAAUUAGAUACAAAAGAUUGAGAUUUGAAAAAGCAAAACUAUCAAAACUAAACCUCUAAAAGAAACAAAAGAGAGAUGAAAGUAACGGAAAGAAAGGAGACAACAACUCUGGGGAAGAAUUGUUUGCACUCUGACACACACACACACACACACACACACACACACACACACACACACACACACACACACACACACACACACACACACACACACACACACACAUCAUGUCAAGAGCAAAUGCUCCCAUUCUUUCUGCUCUUCUGCUCACUGUCCUAAUGUAGAACUGAGCGCGAUGAGGGUAAAUCCGGAUCUGGACUCCUUUCCCACCGUCAGCAGAAGAACCGAAGGAGAAGAAGCGCCUGUCCAACAACCAAAACAGGGUGGAAGCUCUGAUACCACAGCAGCCGGAGGACACAGACCACUGCAUGGAGGCCUCACCGACUCCCACAACGUCUGCAGCCAUCACGUUCUGGGCUCAUCAGACUCACCAUCUACUACAAGCCCUGUACCAGCAUGAAAGGACUGUGUCUGAAGCUUCAGAGGCUGUGAAACUGUCCUACAAGCGUGUGUCUGAUACAGACACCUGCUUAUGACAAUCAGCAAAGGAAAACAAGGACAGAGAAACACCAGCGUGAGCUCCAUCUGAGAAGACGUGCUCUUACACAGACGCUGGUUGAAACAACAGGAAAGGCUUCAGACGUGAUUGGCCCAAUGGAGCUGCAUCCGAGGAUCCAGGAAAGGUCUGUCAUCGCAUUGGAAAAACAACUGUCCCAUCUAUGUCAGGCUUCACCCACUGGCACUCACAUCAGACUGAUGGUUGGGGAAGGAGGAAGGUGACGGUUCCUUUUUACGUGACGUAUAAAACGGUACUGCAAACACACACAAUGAAGAAACAUGCUUACAGCUGAUACACGCUCAAAUUCAUAUUUAUGGUUAUCUGCUUAUUGCAAUGAAGAAUCGCUUUUUGUUUAAAACAAAAAUCCCACAGUGAUUUUAAAAAUUAUGACAAACAGCUAAAUGACAACUGCUGCAUGACUUUACAGUCUGAUGGGUUUAAACUAUUUUAACUUGCAACAAAUUCAGUAAUAACAUCCUUCAUGUUUCUAAAAAGAUUUGUACACCCUAUAGGUUUGUCUGGCCAGACUGUAGGAAAACAAAACUACAGAAGAAAAAAAACAGACUAUAUGAAGACUGAAACAGACUGAAAACAGACUGAAACAGACUAUUAAUGACUAUUAAAGGGAAGACAACUAUUAGAGAGAAGUAAUAAUAAUUACUGUACGUACCAGAAUGUUAAAGAAAAACUUACUCUUUCACUGUCUUGUGCAACAUCUGACAGCAAGACACCUUAACAUUCAUGUUUGCUUUCAAACUUAUGCCCAGUUAAAUUCUUAGGAAGAGAUCUUGUGGUGGAAAUUUUCCAUAAAGAAGCAGAUGAGAGAGUUGUCCUUUUGUGCGAUUUAUUAAAAUAAUAAAGAAAAUAAAAAUAAUGGGGAAAGCAAAUAAAAAGCAUGGAUGUUGAUCGUGCACAUCAACAAACCAAAAACCAGCUGGGGAGAUCAGUGCACACACCACGAAGGUGUGAUGCAAAGAGCCCGCGAUCCUCAAGUUGUCUCUGCCUUUUAACCCCUUUCUCUGGCUCUGGUGGAAUGUCUCUCUGCAGCAAUAGAAUUGCUUGUGUCGCCUUAUCUUGCUGUGAGUAAGAAUGUUUGCUCACUUCUGCAUCAUCAUGUCUUGUUAUCCAAAGGAAGGAUCACCGAGCUUCCAAGACAAGAUGCAUUGGCUUUAACAGCCUUGGGUCUGGUGGGGAGUCAGAUAGGAAGGAGCCAGAGUCCGGGUGUAAAAGACAAACAUAUAUCAUAAAUUAUUAGUGAGUCAAAUGGAACAUCAGAUGUUUAGACUUGAUGUACGACAGGGCACAAGAGAUUAGUUGUUUGUGUAAGAAUGUUCAGUAUUGCACCUAACCAGCACAUGACGAGUGUGUUGGAUAAGAAAUAGCACAAGGCAAAAUUUUUCCAUUACAUUCCCUCCUUUUGAUUACACAUUAAUCAAACACUAAAAUAAUAAAAUUUUUCAAACAUUGCAUUUUGUAGUAACAACCCUUACAAAUGAAACAGUAAGUGUAUUAAGUCAAAAUUCAAAAAUACACCUUCGCAUAAAAUGCAAGUAACUUAGGGGUAAAAGGUUGUGAGCUGUUUUGGUGGGUAGUUAUACAAGAAUAACCUCUGUAAAAGCAUGUGAAAAAAAUAAGCCCAUAAUCAUAUUUGUAUCAGAUUAUAUUUUGUGAUCAGAUAGCCUAAGACCAUCGUCAAAGUCAAGUGAAUUAGAGUUGGGGUUUUUGAACAUAGUGCAUUGUGUCAUUUGAUACGAGAAUGUUGCUGAGGUCGCACGCAUGAUGAGACCUCUAACCAGUGGGAUAACUUUCGGAUCUUUAAUUGUACAUUUGGGUCUAGAAUGAAUAAGAGAAUCAGGGAUUAAACCAGAAUGAUGAUGCAUAUUUCUGCUUGUGUUGUCUUUCAUCUGUAGAUGAAGGAUAAAAAAUUUUUGUAGCAGUGAAUAAAGUGAUUGUGAGCAAAUUAAACACCAAGUAAACUUCAGGAUAUUUAAACUCAGUGUUGUUGUGAAAUUUUCUCAUUCAAAAACAGUGUGUAAAGUUACAUGAAAACAUCAUAUGAUAAAGGAAAUAAUAAGAGUAACAUAAAAUGAAGUCUAACACAACAAGGUUACAAUCGAUGUCUUGUAACAAUCUGCUUCUUCCUGUUGAACAGUAGCAUUAGAUUGUUUCCAACCUGUGUGCUGACGCAUUGACAGUUCACUGGAGUUCUUCAGGUUGUGAUCAGCUGAUCACAGAGACACUUGGGAUUUGUUAUCACCGCCAGGUUUCCUCCCAAUGUUGCCUGAGUCACUGUCACUCCCGUGAUGUGAAGAGUCUACACGUCGUCCAGCGUCGGCAACUCAAGGCUGCUCGUGUGUGUGUUUUUUCAGGAGCGUGUGUGUAGAUGUAUGGUCUGAUAGUGUGAUUCAUCGGCGCAGCUUCAGGCGGCGCUUGGCUCACACCUUUAGCUGAACGGUCAACGCAGCCUCGCCUCAGUGCGUGUGUGAGCACAGUGAGGGUCAUCCUUCUCAGUUCUUUUCGUUAGUGGUGGUUUUCCCCGUGAGAUGUAGAUGGAGGGUCGUCUGUUGCAUCUGGGACCUUCCUGGAUGAAGUGGAUCCAAGGGGCUCUCUCUGCAACUUUCACAGCUGUGUGGGUCGUCAGAAAGACCUGGAAGGGACCUUGCCACCGUUUGGAGGUCUAGUGUUUCCUCCUGAACUCCUUAACGAUCGCCCAGUCUCCUGGUUGGAUGGUGUAAUGGUCCUGUCGCCUGUUUUUACCUGUUGGGAAAUCUGAAUUAUGGGGAAAAGGUGUUUGGGCGGCACGGCUUGUCAUCAGGCCCAAACCAGACUCCAUGGCUACAGGUGGAACCAUUCGUCAUCCAGAAUCUGCGUUCCUGUGAGGUAGAAAAUGUUUAAAGCACAGGGAGAGAGGAAGGAAAGGAUAGAGAGAGUUAGAGAGAGAGAACAAGGAUCAGGAGAGGGAGGGGUUGUUGGGCAGCGACCUUCGCAGCAGCGUCUGCAGCUGCAUGUCGGCAGAAACAAAGUUGUCAAUGAUGUUGUGAGUGGGACAGUUACAAACAGCAUUAGCUGUAGGCAGCAGGACAGCGUCCAGCAAAGCAGAACCUAAUCAUAAUGUGAGAUAGGUUUGCAAUCAGACUUAAAAAGCUUCCUAUGCUUCCACAGAGCGUCUGUGGAGUCUGUGUAGACGGUAAAAGACUCUCCUUCUGCUAGUUUACUAGCUUCAGUCAACGCAAUCAACUCUGCAGCCUGAGCAGAGUAGUGUCUUAGCAAAGCGCCAGACUUCAAGACGGACUCUUGAUAGUAAUGUUCAGCAUGUUGAGCAAGGUGGUGUUGUAUCUAAGCCAUCGGGCUGUGGAAAGAUGUGAUCUAUUCCAAAAGAAUCAAAGACACAGUAUGAGGACAAAAGAACAGAAGUCGUACAACCUGAUUUCUCAUUCACUGUUUGAGUGAAAGGUCGCGUAAGGUCAGAUCAGGAAGACCCAAAGUAGGAGCCCACUGAAGAGCAAGCAUGAGGUCAGUGAACGUUGUUCAGCCUCAGACGUCCACGUGAGAGAAGAAGUGGACGAUGAAGACGUCUGCAUCAGAACCCUGAGUGGGGCCUCAAAGACAGUAAAGUUAAGAAUGAAGUUCCUACAAUAAGAACAAAAACCUAGAAAAGACAUAAGCUGUUUAUACGUGCAUGGUUUAGGCAGGUUUCACAUUGCUUUAACUCUGUUGGGUGAGAUGGAUUUGCCAUCAGCUGUAAUUACAAUGACCCAGAAAAUAACCCUAAUCUGAACUAACUGUAAUUUGGACAGGCUCUCUUUGUGGCCUAUAGCAUCCAAUGUUUCAGUAGCUUAGUGGUGUCUGCAGUAACACCAUCUAUGGCUUCCUUUAAGAGGGUGUUGUUGUUUACAUGGUUUGUGGUCAGAUUUAGGUGUGAUGACCACUGGUUCACAUCCUCUGAUCAAACCUACAUCAUGUCUGUGUGUGAGUCACAGGGAAGAAGGGCUUUCUGUAAGGCUGAGUGUUGGGUCAGAGCGUCCUCUGAAAAAUAAAAAUAAAAAAACAAAAGCAUGUAGUGUGUGUCAUUAGAAUGUGGAGGUACCAAGUUCACUGUUUGCUGCACAUAACAGGCAGAAUAAAAAAAAUUAUAAAGUAUGCAAAGUAGGUAAAUACGUCACAUGGGGUCGGAAGUUGUUCACCAGUCUCCACCCCGUUGACAUCUGUUCACGAAAGGAGCCACGUCCUGUCAUCUGUCUCCAUCAUGUUUUCACAGAGGGACGUGUGGAACUGUAGAAUAAAAAUCUAAAAUCUUUUUGUUCGUUAGUAAAAGAAAUCGCAAGCGCAGACCUUUGUUCAUCCCAAAAGAGGGAAGUUGAGGUCAGUUUGAGUGUGUGUGUGUGUGUGUGUGUGAAAUCAUAACUCUUCAAACCUUUCAUCAGGACCAGAAGACACAUGUGCUAUACAGGACAGGUCAGAUGUGUUUCUGGAGGUCGUAUCACGUGGGGAAACAAGCUGUGAUCCAGCCUGUGUGAGGGCCUCAGUUACAGCCCCCCCUCAGCAGCUAAUGAUAAGAGCACAGCUGAGCUGAAGUUAACACCAACAAAAGAGGGAUAUUUAGAAUGUCUGUAAAUGUGACCUGCACUCCAUCUGGAGUGGAAAUCAAUCAAAUAUCUAAACUACACCAGAUCUCUUCCUAAAAAUUUAACUGGGCACAAGUUUGAAAACAACAAUAAAUCUCAAGGUGUCUUGCUGUCAGAUGUUGCACAAGACAGUGAAAGAAUAAGUUUUUCUUUAAUAGUCUGGUACGUACAGUAAUUAUUAUUACUUCUCUCUAAUAGUCAUCUUCCCUUUAAUAGUCAUUAAUAGUCUGUUUCAGUCAGUUUCAGUCUUCCUAUGGUCUGGUUUUGUUUUUUCUAUAGUCUGUUUUGUUUUCCUACAGUCUGGCCAGACAAACCUAUAGUGUGCAUAAAUAUUUUUAGAAACAUUGAGGAUUUUAGUACUGAAUUUGAAAUAGUUUAAACCCAUCAGACUGUAAAGUCAUGCAGCAGUUGUCAUUUAGCUGUUUGUCAUAAUUUGAAAAUCACUCUGGGAUUUCUUUUGAGCAGAAAGCGAUUCUUCAUUGCGAGCAGAUAAGCAUGAACAUGAAUUUGAGCGUGAAUCAGCUGUAAGCGUGUUUCUUCAUUGCGUUUAUGAAUGUGUGUGUGUAUGUUUGCGGUACCGUCUUGUACGUCACGUGAAAAGGAACCGUCACCUUCCUCCUUCCCCAACCAUCAGUCUCAUGUGAGCGCCAGUGGGUGAAGCCUUUCAAUGGGACAGUUGUUCCUCGAUGACAGACCUUUCCUGGAUCCUCGCAUGCAGCUCUAUUGGGCCAAUCACGUUUGAAGCCUCUCCUGUUGUUUCAACCAGUGUCUGUGUCAGAGCACGUCUUCUCACUCUGCUGUUGCUCUGUCCUUGUUUUCCUUUGCUGAUUGUCAUAAGCAGGUGUCUGUGUCAGACACACACGCUUGUAGUAGCUGGUUCAUCUGAUGAGCUCAGAACGUGAUGGCUGCAGACGUUGUGGGAGUCGGUGAGGUCAUGCUGUGGUCUGUGUCCUCCAGCUGCUGUGGUAUCAGAGCUUCAACCCUGUUCUGGUUGUUGGUCAGGCGCUUCUUCUCCUUCGGUUCUUCUGCUGAUGGUGGGAAAGGAGUCCAGAUCCGGAUUUACCCUCAUCGCACUCAGUUCUGCAUUAGGAUAGAGAGCAGAAACAAUGGGAGCAUUUGCUCUUGACAUGAUAUGUGUGGCAGAGUGCAAACAAUUCUUCCCCAGAGUUGUUAUCUCCUUUUUUUUCUGUUACUCUCAUCUCUCUUUUGUUUCUUUUAGGGGUUUAGUUUUGAUAGUUUUGCUUUUUCAAAUCUCAUCUUUUUGUAUCUAAUUUUUCUUUUUAAGGUGCAUAUGUCUUUUACACAACCGAUUCUCUUUUUGAACCCAUAACCAGUUUCCCACUCAUGGAAACAUGAAACGCACUAAUAACCAUAUUUACUUUUUACUUUCGUAAUGCUGCAGUCUGGUGGUGGAGACUUAGAUCGCCCCGAACCCAUCUCUCAGAGUCCCGGCGGUUUCCUGCCUUAGACUUUUUUGUGUUCCGGCCGGAACCUUUUUUCAAAGUUUCUCUUCCACGGACGUCUCCGUAGAAAGGGAACCGCUCAGAUCAGCGACAGAGUUCUCGGAAGUGCUCCCUCACCGUCAGGCCCCUCUAAGACCCGGGUCCCUCAUAUCUCAAAAACACUUCCCCCUGCAAACGCGCUCCGUAUUUCAGAAGCCGUCUUUUAUUUCUUGUCCACUCCCUUUGGACUGCGCUCAGAUCUGCACACUGGUCUGUAUCCUCAGUACAGACAAAAAAAGCUUGGUUCCACGAGCCAACCCUUAGCAACCACCAUCUCAGCCACCAGGGCAGACUUUGACCUAAUUCAUUUUACCCGAAUAUUAUUAUUUUUUUUUAAAUCAAACAUUUUUGUUUGUUCCUAAUUAUUAUAUUUUAGAUGUUUUGAGCCAACUAGUCGUGUUAGAAAUAUUUUUGUCUCUAGUCCUAAUUAUGUUUUCUUUUGUCGUUGUAUGUUUUAGUCUAGUUGCGGAUGCUUUAGAAUUAAUUGUUAUUUGCCUUACUUUCCCUAAACCAAAUGAUCAGAGCCAAGUAAACCCCGAAUACCUGAAACCAAUUUCAAACCCGUUUUCUUUUCUUUUCUUUUUUUUCUUCGAUAAGUCGCAACAAAACAGAGUCUCUCUCACCGGGCCGAGUAAAGGUUGAAUUUUGUGUUUGUUGGAUCUCGUCAGAGGCGAUCCAGACAGGUGAGCAGUCCUCCCACUCAGAACAGCUGUAGAGAUUUGGAGGCUGAGCGACCCUAGUCCUCAGGACUAUCGUCCCGGGUCACACCGUCCAGACGACCUGCAGCGGAUCCUGUUCGUAGACGCCAAUUUCUGUGGUGGAAAUUUUCCAUAAAGAAGCAGAUGAGAGAGUUGUCCUUUUGUGCGAUUUAUUGAAAUAAUAAAGAAAAUAAAAAUAAUGGGGAAAGCAAGUAAAAAGCAUGGACGUUGAUCGUGCACAUCAACAAACUAAAAACCAGCUGGGGAGAUCAGUGCACACACCACGAAGGUGUGAUGCAAAGAGCCCGCGAUCCUCAAGUUGUCUCUGCCUUUUAACCCCUUUCUCUGGCUCUGGUGGAAUGUCUCUCUGCAGCAAUAGAAUUGCUUGUGUCGCCUUAUCUUGCUGUGAGUGAGAAUGUUUGCUCACUUCUGCAUCAUCAUGUCUUGUUAUCCAAAGGAAGAAACACCGAGCUUCCAAGACAAGAUGCAUUGGCUUUAACAGCCUUGGGUCUGGUGGGGAGUCAGAUAGGAAGGAGCCAGAGUCCGGGUGUAAAAGACAAACAUAUAUCAUAAAUUAUUAGUCAGUCAAAUGGAACAUCAGAUGUUUAGACUUGAUGUACGACAGGGCACAAGAGAUUAGUUGUUUGUGUAAGAAUGUUCAGUAAUGCACCUAACCAGCACAUGACGAGUGUGUUGGAUAAGAAAUAGCACAAGGCAAAAUUUUUCCAUUACAGAUCUGAUGUGUAGUUUAGGUAUUUGAUUGAUUUCCACUCCAGACGCGGUGCAGGUUACAUCUACAGACAUUCUAAAUAAUCCCUCUUUUGUUGGUGUUAACUUCAGCUUAGCUGUACUCUUAUCAUUGGCUGCUGAGGGGGGGGGGCUGUAACUGAGGCCCUCACACAGGCUGCAUCACAGCUUGUUUCCCCAUGUGAUAUGACCUCCAGAGAUGCAACACACACACACACACACACACACACACUGACAAACUGACCUCAACUUCCCUUUUUAGGGAUGAACACAGGUCUGCGCUUGCGAUUUCUUUUACUAACGAACAAAAAGAUUUUAGAUUUUUAUUUUACAGUUCGGCACGUCCCUCUGUGAAACAUGAUGGAGACAGAUGACAGGACGUGGGUCCUUUCGUGAACAGAUGUCAACGGGGUGGAGACUGGUGAACGACUUCUGACCCAAUGUGACGUAUUUACCCACUUUACAUGCUUUUAGAAAACUUUUAUAAUUUUUUUUCUGCCUGCCAUGCGCAACACACAGUGAACUUGGUACCUCCGCAUUCUAAUGAAAUACACUACAUUUUGUUUAUUUUUAUUUUUCAGAGGACGCUCUGACGCAACACUCAGCCUUACAGAAAGCCCCUGCUUCCCUGUGGCUCGCACACAGACAUGAUGUAGGUUUGAUCAGAGGAUGUGAACCAGUGGUCAUUACACCUAAAUCUGACCACAGACCAUGUAAACAACAACACCCUCUGAAAGGAAGCCAUAGAUGGCGUUACUGCAGACACCACUAAGCUACUGAAACAUUGGAUGCAACAGGCCACAAAGAGAGCCUGUCUAAAUUACGGUUAGUUCAGACAAAGGGUCAUUGUAAUUACAGCUGAUGGCAAAUCCAUCUCACCCAACAGAGUUGAAGUAAUUUGAAACCUGCCUAAACCGUGCACGUAUAAACAGCUUAUGUCUUUUCUAGGUCUUUGUUCUUAUUGUAGGAACAUUGUAGGAGGCCCCACUCAGGGUUCUGAUGCAGACGUCUUCAUCGUCCACUUCUUCUCUCACGUGGACGUCUGAGGCUGAACAACGUUCACUGACCUCAUGCUUGCUCCUACUUUGGGUCUUCCUGAUCUGACCUUACACAACCUUUCACUCAACCAGUGGAUGAAAAAUCAGGUUGUACGACUUCUGUUCUUUUGUCCUGUAGUCUAUUUUCCUGCUUCAUCCAGCUGCUGCUGAACGUCCACGGUGUCUAUGAGCAGUGGCUGCAGCAGAGAGAGCCGUUCUGGCAUCAUGUGACAUUGUUGGCUACUCUGACGUCACCUUGUUGGUUCCUCAUACUGUGUCUAUGAUUCUUUUGGAAUAGAAAACAUCACAUCUUUCUACAGCUCGAUGGCUUUGAUACAACACCACCUUGCUCAACAUGCUGAACGUUACUAUCAAGAGGCUGUUUUGAAGUCUGGCGUUUUGCUAAGACAUUACUCUGCUAAGGCUGCAGAGAUGAUCGCGUUGACUGAAGCUAGUAAACCAGCAGAAGGAGAGUCCGUUACCAUCUACACAGACUCCACAGAUGCUUGUCACACCUUGGUGCUCUGUGGAAGCAUAGGAAGCUUUUGAAGUUUGAUUACCAACCUAUCUUACAUCAUGAUAAGUUUGCUGCUUUGCUGGACGUAGUUCUGCUGCCUACAGCUAAUGCUGUUUGGAACUGUCCAACUCACACCAUCAAUGAUGACUUUGUUUCUGCCGACAUGCAGCUGCAGACGCUGCUGCGAAGGUCGCUGCCCGACAACGCCUCCCUCUCCUCACACUCAUUUCCUCUCAUCAACUCUCUCUACCCCCUCCUUCCGCAUCUUCCUGUGCUUUAAAUAUUUUCUACCUCACAGGAACGCAGACUCUGGCAGAUGAAUGGUUCCACCUGUAGCCAUGGAGUCUGGUUUGGGCCUGAUGACAAGCUGUGCCGCCCAAACACUUUUCCCCACAAUUCAGGUUUCCCAACAGGUGAAAACAGGCGACAGGACCACUACACACCAUCCAAACAGGGAACAGGGUGAUUGGAGUUCAGGAGGAAGCACUGGGACGUCAAACGGUGGCAAGGCCCCUUCCAGGUCCCUCUGACGACCCACACGGCUGUGAAGGUCACAGAGAUUAGAGAGCGAUUUGAAUCCACUCCAUCCACUGCAGGAAGGUCCCAGACCCAACAGACGACCCUCUAUCUACACGGAGAAAACAGUGAACAGACACUAAUGAAAAGAACUGAGAAGGACGAAAACUCUUGAUGAGUUAAUACACUCAUUGUUUCAAUUGCAAGGGUCUUUUUAUUAAUACAAAAUGAGAUGUUGACAAUUUUUAUUCUUAGUGUUUGAAUAAUGUGUAAUCAAAAGGGGGAGUGUUAUGGGAAAAAUUGUUUCUUCCUUAUUCUAUGCAGUUAUUAUAUGAUUUAUGACUUAUGUUCUGCAAUUAAUAGCUUAUGUUUUGUCUUACUCUAUGUAUUUGACAUUUCGCCUACAUUGUUCAAUGGUUGCCUCUGCCUGCCUCAACUCUAGCUCCCAAACCCAAGGCCGGGGAGUUGUGUCUCUUUCUGUUGAGACUUGGUGCUCCUUUCUCACAGCUAGUUGGACGUCAGCAAUGCAAGUGUGAGAAUUUAAACAUCUUCACACACACUGUGACAGGGAAGACAGGAUGCAUGUAAUUUGAUUGGGUUAGACAGACAUUCCACCCUAGUCGGACAGAGAGGUUAAAAGGCAGAAACAACUUGAGGAUCGUGGGCUCUUUGCAUCACACCUUCGUGGUGUAUGCACUGCUCUCCCCAGCUGAGUUUUUGGUUUGUUGAUGUGCACGAUUAACAUCCAUGCUGAUUCUGCUGCUUGAUUUGCUUUCCCAAUUAUUUUUAUUUUCCUUUAUUUUUAUAAUAAAUUACACAAAAGACAA
Betta splendens (Siamese fighting fish) is the source of this 12119-nucleotide long non-coding RNA. RefSeq lists it as uncharacterized. Lineage: Eukaryota; Metazoa; Chordata; Actinopteri; Anabantiformes; Osphronemidae. The transcript has 2 exons. The record is from RefSeq and is a predicted model, not a curated record.